This is a long non-coding RNA of Dreissena polymorpha, 3478 nucleotides long. RefSeq lists it as uncharacterized. The record is from RefSeq and is a predicted model, not a curated record. The transcript has 3 exons. NCBI's taxonomy places the organism in Eukaryota, Metazoa, Mollusca, Bivalvia, Myida, Dreissenidae.
UCUGUUUCAUUCCACUAUGAACACUUGUAUUUUGACAAAAGAAGAGAUAAAGUGAGUUACUUUAUCAUCAUGGUUUCAUUUGGUGUAUAACACAUGAACAGAGGUAAACCUAGCUAGCUUUUCGUGUACUCUAUUUUGGAUGAUGAGUAUGUCAGUAACUUUAAUUGUACGGCUAGUAAAGUAUGAACAUGAAUGCUUUGUUCAGAUUUUCAGAUGUGUGCUGGCAGUUCAAGUCUGGCAGCUGGAGUGAACAGUCGUGUUUUCUGGAGCUCCAACAAUAUGCUAGAAGGUAAGUAACUAUGUUUGUUUUGCAUUGCAUGUUUUUAUAUGUUUCAGACUUUCAAGCAGAGAUGUCAUGCUGACUGGAGUUGAGCACAGGGCAGUGACAAAGUGAAAGGUAAGUACUUUUGACUGAAUGUUUGUUCUAUGCAUGUUUUGUUUUAAUACAUUUCAGGAGUGCUUAUCCAGUGAUGAUAUGACAGUUGGAGUGAACAGUGGAGCCAAGCAGUCUUGUUUUUGGAGCUACUCAACAAGCCUUGAAGGUGUACUUGCUGACAGCGACGAAGACGAAUCAAGAAGAGGAACAUUGUUCAGAAAGUGAUUGGGACUUGCAAACAGGGUAAGUGUAACACUUGUGUUUGUUUAAUUUGUAACAUGCGUGCUUUGCUCUGUUUCAGAUUUCACAUGCAGAAAUUAAACAGGAUUUCAACUGCUGAGACACAAUUCAUUAAAAGUAAGGUAAGUUUUAAUUCAUUGAUUUGAGUUGUACAAUGUGUUCUUUACUUUAUUUCAGAUUCGAGUCACUGGUUUACACAUGGAAGAAGAUUUCCACGUCGGUUACUCAACUCUACAGAAGCAAGUGGAUGUCCAGAUGGCAAGCAGAACAGACGUGUUUCUUGGAGCUGCCAAACAGUGAGUACAAACGUUUUAUAUUUUUCAGUUGUUUACUCAUAGAAGUCUGUGAAAGAUGAUAACAAGGGUUGAAUUGCACAGUACUUGUGUCUAAAAAUGCUGAUGUGUGACGGUUUACUGAAAAGGGUAAAUGCUAGCCAGUACUAACACUUGAGCAACCGUGGGAUGUCGAACUAACUGAUGAUGUACUAUGAUGGUGAACACUUACUUUGUGUAUCGAAAUGCUUUUGUUGAUAUUUACUAAAUAUUGAUUGACAUUUGUUUGCAUGCUGUUAACAUUUCUAUUUCAUUUCAGUUGGCUGUGGUGAGUAUUGUAAUAUACAUUUGUUUCAAUAAAUCAUGAUGAAUGAACACUGAUUUCGAUUCUUUUUUACAGUUUUAGGGAUUAUCACUCUAUAACAACUCUGUCGGUUGGUGUUCGUGAAUGUGAGCUUAAUGUUUGAGUAGUACAAAAAUGUCUUUACUUUUGUGAUCGCCAGUUGUCUGUGAUGUAAAGUGGAAAAAACACAGCUAUGAAGCAUACAAUUGUUUCAAUAUUUUAUCAAUGAUAGUGUGCUAUGCAUGUUUUGAUUUAGUUCGUUUCAGAUACGACAUGACAUGAAGAGUUGACAGUCGAACAGAGCUGAGCAAAGCAGAAAGGUAAGUGUGUUUCAUUUUAGUAUGGACACUUGUAUUUUGUUUUUAUAUGGUAUGUUUUGUGCAUGCUAUGUUUCAGGUGUACUUGUAGUCAGCGACGAAGACGAUUCAAGAAGAGGAACAUUGCUGAGAAAGUGAAUGGGACUUGCAAACAGGGUAAGUGUUACAAUUGUUUGUUUGAUUUUUACCAUGCAUACUUUGCUUUGCUCUGUUUCAGAUUUCACAUGCAGAAAUGGUCUCAUAGCAGUGCCAACAGUGAAUAAGGAUUUCAGCUGCUGUGAAACAACUCAACAGAAAGUAGGUAAGCAUUGAAUGAAUGCACUUGAGUUGUACAAUUUGAUGUGAUGCUUUUCUCUGUUUCAGAUUCAAGUUCCUGGUGUAGACAGAGAAAUGUGUUUGAAGAAGGAAUUCUACUACUGUGAUUCAACUCUACAGAAGCAAGGUAAGUAGAAACAAAAUUUUGGUUUAAUUUAACUCAUGUGUUUUGCACUGCAUGCUAUUUUUCAGGUCUCUCAUGCAGUGAUGGAAAAGAAGAAGAUUUCAAGAAAGAAUCACUGCUGCAACUCAGGCCUAUAACAAGGUAAGUGUUUACUAUAUUGUAUACAAAAUGUUUCUCUGUUUUACUCUGUUUCAGGUUUCAAUUGCAGAGAUGUUGCAGAGAUGUUUUGACAGCUUGUGGCAGAAAAGAAAUUCAGCAUCUGUUUCUCGACUCUAGCCACGAGGUAAGUCAAAACAAAUAUACUGGUUUGUAUGUAAUGUUGUUAUGCCCUUCUAUGUUUCAGACUUACAUUGCUGUGACUGUUCCACAGUGGGUCAAAAAAGAGACGAAUACAGGUUUCAAGAAGAAAAUUGGCUGUUAAAAACCUGCACAAAAUAUGAGGUAAGUAAACUACUCUUUUGGUUUGUUUUGUGCUUUGUUAUGCUUAACUAUUUUUCAGAUUGGAAUGGUGGGUCGUUACAGAGCAGACUUUUGGACUACUGAGAAGUUGAGAAACAGAGAAUGAUUCAAGAUCAGCUAGGUAAGUCUUGAUUAUUAUGCAUUGCUAAAUGUUUUUUUCAUUCCAGUAUGGCUGUGGUAAGUACACAAACUUUCUAUAAUUUAAUAUUGAACUGUUUUUAUGACCUGUAUUCUGCAUUGUAAAAUGUCUGUUUUUCAUUUCAGUAUCCUGUGGUAAGUACACUAACUUUGUAUAAUUUCAUAUUGAAAUGUUUUGAUGACUUGUAUCCUGCUAUGCAAUGCUUAAUAUAUUUUUCAUUUCAGUGUGGCUGUGGUAAGUACACUAACUUUCUUUUCUUUUUCAUAUUGAACUGUUUUGGUGACUUGUAUUCUGCUAUACAAAAUGUGUUUUUUUCAUUUCAGUUGCCUGUGGUAAGUACAAUUGCCUUCUUUAAUUUUCAUAUUGAACUGUUUUGAUGACUUGUAUACUGCAUUGUAAAAUGUGUUUCUUUUUCAUUUCAGUAUGGCUGUGGUAAGUACAAUUGCCUUCUUUAAUUUUCAUAUUGAACUGUUUUGAUGACUUUUAUUCUGCCAUACAAAAUGUGUUUUUUUUCAUUUCAGUUGCCUGUUGGUAAGUACAAUUUGCUUUCUUUAAUUGCAUAUUGAAAUAUGUUUUAUGACUUUUAUUCUGCUAUGCUUUUUUCAUUUCAGUUUGGCAGAUGUAAGUACACUUCAUUUAUGUAAAAACUGAAUAUGAUUGUUGUGCUAUACAAAAUGUGCUUUUUUCAAUUUCAGGUCAGCAAUGGUAAGUAGAUUGUGUUUCUUUAUGUAUAAUUUUGUAUACAUAUUGUUUUUUUCAUCAUAGCAUGUCUUUUAUAUUUAUGCUUUGUGUAAGUAAAAUGUUCAUAAAUCAUUCUUAUCUUCAAACUAAAAAUGUAUUGUGCUAUGCAAAAUGUCUGUAUGAUUUCAGUUGCCAGAGGUGAGUACCAUUAC